CCUACGGGAGGCUGCAGUGGGGAAUAUUGGACAAUGGGCGAAAGCCUGAUCCAGCCAUGCCGCGUGUGUGAAGAAGGCCUUCGGGUUGUAAAGCACUUUCAGUGGGGAAGAAAGCCUUGGGGCUAAUACCCUCGAGGAAGGACAUCACCCACAGAAGAAGCACCGGCUAACUCCGUGCCAGCAGCCGCGGUAAUACGGAGGGUGCGAGCGUUAAUCGGAAUUACUGGGCGUAAAGCGCGCGUAGGCGGUCUGAUAAGCCGGUUGUGAAAGCCCCGGGCUCAACCUGGGAACGGCAUCCGGAACUGUCAGGCUAGAGUGCAGGAGAGGAAGGUAGAAUUCCCGGUGUAGCGGUGAAAUGCGUAGAGAUCGGGAGGAAUACCAGUGGCGAAGGCGGCCUUCUGGACUGACACUGACGCUGAGGUGCGAAAGCGUGGGUAGCAAACAGGAUUAAUACCCCGAGUAGUC
This 465-nucleotide ribosomal RNA is filed under the name Vreelandella stevensii. Its description in RNAcentral is "partial 16S ribosomal RNA". It matches the Rfam family "Bacterial small subunit ribosomal RNA", at positions 338 to 795 of the family's 1533-position model. The record is from RNAcentral. Lineage: Bacteria; Pseudomonadati; Pseudomonadota; Gammaproteobacteria; Oceanospirillales; Halomonadaceae.